RNAcentral lists this ribosomal RNA (510 nucleotides) under uncultured Candida. Its description in RNAcentral is "eukaryotic LSU rRNA". It matches the Rfam family "Eukaryotic large subunit ribosomal RNA", at positions 63 to 665 of the family's 3401-position model. The record is from RNAcentral. Lineage: Eukaryota; Fungi; Ascomycota; Saccharomycetes; Saccharomycetales.
AACCAACAGGAUUGCCUCAGUAACGGCGAGUGAAGCGGCAAAAGCUCAAAUUUGAAAUCCCCCCGGGGAAUUGUAAUUUGAAGAUUGUGUUUUGGAAACGACCGUGUCUAUGUUCCUUGGAACAGGACGUCACAGAGGGUGAGAAUCCCGUGCGGCACGGCCACCGUUUCCUUAUAAAACACUCUCGACGAGUCGAGUUGUUUGGGAAUGCAGCUCAAAGUGGGUGGUAAAUUCCAUCUAAAGCUAAAUACAGGCGAGAGACCGAUAGCGAACAAGUACAGUGAUGGAAAGAUGAAAAGCACUUUGAAAAGAGAGUGAAACAGUACGUGAAAUUGUUGAAAGGGAAGGGCAUGCCGUCAGAUUGUCAGUGUGGGUAAAGAAGCGGGGUACAAAGACUGUGGAAACGUGGCCCUCGGGUGUUAUAGCCACAGUUCAUCCCCCGUCUCUUUCCGAGGCCUGCUUUGAGGACACCGACGUAAUGACGGUACGCCGCCCGUCUUGAAACACGGA